CAACCCUGUGCCCUCAUCGUGUUCUUUCUCUCCUUCCUGGUCAGUGGGAAGGUGGCCCCGUGAGACCCAGGAGAGGGUCCUUGAAUAGCACUCUAUCCCUGACCCUGGAGCCACAUCCCAUGCAGUUUGCUGUCCUGCCCGAGUCCUUGCCGUGACAACAGCUCCAGGUGACCUCUGCUGACCACUUAUGCUAUCACCAGGGCUGCCUCAGGAUGACCGUCCCUGCCGGUCGCGGGGAGAAUGUGCCCGGCUCUCCACACAGCGCUUCUCAAAUCCACUAAAAUCAACACAAUAAUUGAAAUAUUUUCAAGCUGAUUACACCGCAGCCCGAGGCUAGCCUGGUUGCUAAGGGUGAGCUCCGCGGUUGCUAGGGGGAGUAAAUCAUCUUGCAUUAUUUGAUUUUUGUUAUAGAUAUGAAACCGCUACUCCCGCGAUUAAAUGUCUCUCAGCCUAACACCUAUGGGACCUGGGGAGAGAGGAGAGAGGGGCUCCAACCUUGACCCUGUCAAAUAAAUAUCUCUAACUUUUCCUGUCCUCGGGCUUCCCAG
This 548-nucleotide long non-coding RNA is filed under the name Chinchilla lanigera (long-tailed chinchilla). Its description in RNAcentral is "lncRNA (ENSCLAG00000023634.1)". The record is from RNAcentral. Lineage: Eukaryota; Metazoa; Chordata; Mammalia; Rodentia; Chinchillidae.